RNAcentral lists this ribosomal RNA (253 nucleotides) under uncultured bacterium. RNAcentral describes it as "partial 16S ribosomal RNA". It matches the Rfam family "Bacterial small subunit ribosomal RNA", at positions 524 to 776 of the family's 1533-position model. The record is from RNAcentral.
UACGUAGGGUGCGAGCGUUGUCCGGAAUUAUUGGGCGUAAAGGGCUCGUAGGCGGUUUGUCGCGUCGGGAGUGAAAACCCAGGGCUUAACCCUGGGCUGGCUUUCGAUACGGGCAGACUAGAGGUAUGCAGGGGAGAACGGAAUUCCUGGUGUAGCGGUGAAAUGCGUAGAUAUCUGGAGGAACACCGGUGGCGAAGGCGACAUCCUGGACCGGCAUUGACGCUGAGGCGCGAAAGCCAGGGGAGCAAACGGG